Molecule: ribosomal RNA, 392 nt
Filed under: uncultured bacterium
Lineage: Bacteria
Description: bacterial SSU rRNA
Rfam family: Bacterial small subunit ribosomal RNA
Source: RNAcentral
AUUGAACGCUGGCGGCAUGCCUUACACAUGCAAGUCGAACGGCAGCACGGGAGCAAUCCUGGUAGCGAGUGGCGAACGGGUGAGUAAUAUAUCGGAACGUGCCCAGUCGUGGGGGAUAACGUAGCGAAAGCUACGCUAAUACCGCAUACGAUCUAUGGAUGAAAGCGGGGGAUCGCAAGACCUCGCGCGAUUGGAGCGGCCGAUAUCAGAUUAGGUAGUUGGUGAGGUAAAGGGCUCACCAAGCCGACGAUCUGUAGCUGGUCUGAGAGGACGACCAGCCACACUGGGACUGAGACACGGCCCAGACUCCUACGGGAGGCAGCAGUGGGGAAUUUUUGGACAAUGGGCGCGAAGCCUGAUCCAGCAAUGCCGCGUGCAGGAUGAAGGCCUUC